Molecule: unclassified non-coding RNA, 1011 nt
Filed under: Hevea brasiliensis (rubber tree)
Lineage: Eukaryota; Viridiplantae; Streptophyta; Magnoliopsida; Malpighiales; Euphorbiaceae
Source: RNAcentral
ACAAUACAUGAGAUUACGCCACAAUUACUAGUAACUCAAUAUAUUACAAAAUUGUGUAUAUUCCCAUUUCAAAUGUUAAAGAUGAAAUUAACAUGUAGCUGAUGAAACAAUUUUCUAUAUUUCGCCAACCUAAAAAGAGUGAUGGAAAGUGGAUUUCAGGUUUAAUAGUCUCGAGAAGGUAUUAGCCACCGAUGACUAUACUUUCGUAGAAGCACCCUUUUUUCCUCCCCACACUGAAUGAAAAAAAAACAAGCUAACAAAAAGCACUAAAAAUAUCAGAACACAAGGAGAAGAAAAGUACUUGCUAGUGAACGAGUGAUUAAUCGCUUCCCCAUUUUCUUGCUACCGUCUCUUUGGCAGAAACACGAGAAGGAACUUCUUCCGGAGAUAUGGUACCAAAGCUGUCUUGGCUAGCAGGAUAUACUUUUCUCAUAAUUUGUGAUGUUACAAAGGUAAACCCAUUCCUUACUCCGCGUAGAGUGAACAGCAGAGGGUUGAAUAUCACAGCAAGCAUCACAUCUCCUUUUGUAACUAUCAAGUACAUGACAAUAAUACCCAAGAUAGCAAGGGUUGCUUGUUGGGCUUCCUGCCAAAAAUGGCCAUCCUCCGAGCCACCAAACCAUCUACGCCAAUUAAACCAACCGCCUCCGCCUGAAUUGUCUCCUCCACCUGCUUCCUCCCUUCGUUUAAUUUCUUUAUCCCAUUUCUCAAACUCAGUUUUCUUUCCUCCCAAAGCACUUUCUAGAGCUUUUCUAGCCUCGUCCUGUUUGCGAUUAUCAGAGAAGAGGCAAGAAAAUCUGCCAUUGCUCUGGAGUUUGUGUUGUAAGGAACGGAAACUCUUGUCGGCGGUGGAGGACGGAGCAGUUAGCAGCGCCGGCCGGGUCAAAGAUGAGGUGGCGCGGUGGUGGUGCGGUGGUGAUGGGGUUGAAACUUGUAGGCUCAGCACCUGCGCCAUAGCCAUAGAUUUUGGGUUUUGGUUUGGACUUGUCAAAUUGGGCAAAUGGCCCAAAA